GAGGGUAUAGCUCGAUGGUAGAGUGAGUGCUUAGCAUGCACUAGGUCAUGGGUUAAACCCCCAGUCCCUCCA
This 72-nucleotide transfer RNA is filed under the name Camelus ferus (Wild Bactrian camel). It matches the Rfam family "tRNA". From Rfam's summary of the family: Transfer RNA (tRNA) molecules are approximately 80 nucleotides in length. Lineage: Eukaryota; Metazoa; Chordata; Mammalia; Artiodactyla; Camelidae. The record is from Rfam by way of RNAcentral.